GGGCCAGUAGGUUGGUCGUGCCACCGGUACGUACUGGUCUCACUGAUUCCUCCUUCCUGAAGAACCGUAAUGCCAUUAAUUGGGUGUUGCGGGGAAACAGGACUGUUACUUUGAAAAAAUUAGAGUGUUUAAAGCAAGCUAACGCUUGAAUACAUUAGCAUGGAAUAAUGAAAUAGGACGAUCGAUCCUAUUUUGUUGGUUUCUAGGAUUGACGUA
Molecule: ribosomal RNA, 216 nt
Filed under: Glomeromycotina sp.
Lineage: Eukaryota; Fungi; Glomeromycota
Description: partial small subunit ribosomal RNA
Rfam family: Eukaryotic small subunit ribosomal RNA (bases 87-216)
Source: RNAcentral